UAAAUUUUUAAAAAUAUUUUUUUAUUUUAUUUAUUUUAAUAAAAGUAUUUUUAUUUUUAGUAUUUUUUAGAAAAAAUUAAAUUUAUUUGGUUAGUACUGUGAAGGAAAAAAAUUAAUAAAUUUAAAGUACUUAUUUUUAGGUUACCUUUUGUAUCAGGGUUUAUUAACUUUUUUAAUUUAUUAUUAUUUUCUCGAAAUUUCAAGAUAUAUAUUUAAUAUAUAUUAAAUGUUACAAUAUUUUUUUAAAAUUAAAUAUAGUGGAUAAAUUCUAUUCAAUUGAAAAUAUCUAGUUUUUUGAGAAAUAGAUUUAAUCUAUAAAUAAACAUAAACAUAUUUAUUUAAUUUUUUUUUAUUUACAUUAAAUAAAGGAUAAUCUUUAUUUAAAUUUUAAAAGAUUAAGGGAUACAAUAUAUUUUGUAGGAUUAAUAAUUUCCAUCUUUUAUUUUUUAAAAAUUAUUUUUAAAAUAUUUUUUAUUUUUUUUUCUUUAAAUUUUUAUCAAAAUAAGUUUUUUAAUUUCAAUGAUUUUAAAAAUAUGAUAAAAUUAGUAUAUUUUAAUAAUAGAAUAUAGUAACUCGGCAAAUAUAAUUUUCACCUGUUUAACAAAAACAUGUUCUUUUGUUUUAAAUAAAAGAUCUGGCCUGCCCAAUGAUUAUUUUAAUGGCUGCAGUAUUUUGACUGUACAAAGGUAGCAUAAUAAUUUGUCUCUUAAUUGGAGUCUGGUAUGAAUGGUUGGAUGAAAAAUUUACUUUCUUUAUUUUAAAUAUAAAAUUUAAUUUUUAAGUUAAAAAGCUUAAAUUUUUAUAUAGGACGAGAAGACCCUAUAGAACUUUAUUUUUUAUUAAAAAUAUAUUAUUUUGAAAAUGAUUUUUAUUUUUUUAUUUGAAAUUAUAUUGGGGUGAUAAAAAAAAUUUAAUAACUUUUUUUAUUUUUUUCAUUUAUAUAUGAUAUUUUGAUCCUAUAAUAUGGAAAUAAGAUUAAGUUACCUUAGGGAUAACAGCGUUAUUACUUUGGAGAGUUCAAAUCUAUAAAGUAGUUUGCGACCUCGAUGUUGGAUUAAAAUUAGUUUCAGGGGCAAAAUAUUGAUUACUAGGUCUGUUCGACCUUUAAAAUUUUACAUGAUCUGAGUUCAGACCGGCGUGAGCCAGGUCGGUUUCUAUCCUUAUUUUUAUAUAAUUUUUUAGUACGAGAGGACCAAAUUUUAGAAAUAAUUUUUUUUAUUUGAUUAAAAUU
RNAcentral lists this ribosomal RNA (1231 nucleotides) under Cyrtorhinus sp. Its description in RNAcentral is "16S ribosomal RNA". The stretch from base 807 to 1160 matches the Rfam family "Archaeal large subunit ribosomal RNA", at positions 2155 to 2712 of the family's 2987-position model. Lineage: Eukaryota; Metazoa; Arthropoda; Insecta; Hemiptera; Miridae. The record is from RNAcentral.